GGCUGUCGUCAGCUCGUGUCGUGAGAUGUUCGGUUAAGUCCGCUAACGAGCGCAACCCUCACUGUGUGUUAUAUGUGUCACACGGGACUGCCGGUUUUAAGCCGGAGGAAGGUGGGGAUGACGUCAAGUCAGCAUGGCCUUUAUAUCCUGGGCUACACACACGCUACAAUGGUCGGUACAAUAGGUUGCCAAGCCGCGAGGCGGAGCCAAUCCACAAAGCCGGCCUCAGUUCAGAUUGUAGGCUGCAACUCGCCUGCAUGAAGAUGGAGUUGCUAGUAACCGCAGGUCAGCAAUACUGCGGUGAAUACGUUCCCGGGUCUU
Molecule: ribosomal RNA, 321 nt
Filed under: uncultured Anaerolineaceae bacterium
Lineage: Bacteria; Bacillati; Chloroflexota; Anaerolineae; Anaerolineales; Anaerolineaceae
Description: bacterial SSU rRNA
Rfam family: Bacterial small subunit ribosomal RNA
Source: RNAcentral